GAUGAAGAACGUAACGAAAUGCGAUAAGUAAUGUGAAUUGCAGAAUUCAGUGAAUCAUCGAAUCUUUGAACGCACAUUGCGCCCGCCAGUAUUCUGGCGGGCAUGCCUGUUCGAGCGUCAUUUCAACCAUCAAGCCCCCGGCUUGUGUUGGGGACCUGCGGCUGCCGCAGGCCCUGAAAACCAGUGGCGGGCUCGCUAGUCACUCCGAGCGUAGUAAUACAUCUCGCUCAGGGCGUGCUGCGGGUUCCGGCCGUUAAAAGCCUUAUUUACCCAAGGUUGACCUCGGAUCAGGUAGGAAGACCCGCUGAACUUAAGCAUAUCAAUAAGCGGAGGA
RNAcentral lists this unclassified non-coding RNA (334 nucleotides) under soil metagenome. RNAcentral's name for it is "partial contains 5.8S ribosomal RNA, internal transcribed spacer 2, and large subunit ribosomal RNA". The stretch from base 1 to 120 matches the Rfam family "5.8S ribosomal RNA", at positions 35 to 154 of the family's 154-position model. The record is from RNAcentral.